Molecule: RNA transcript, 4765 nt
Organism: Vigna radiata var. radiata (mung bean)
Lineage: Eukaryota; Viridiplantae; Streptophyta; Magnoliopsida; Fabales; Fabaceae
Exons: 6
Source: RefSeq, a predicted model, not a curated record
CAUUUACAUUGCAUCUUAUUUACUUGUAGAUACAUAUAAAUACACAGCAUUCUUGCAUUAAACCAUUACACAUUCAUUCAUCAUUUUAGUUUAGGUUUUAUAUUCUAUUAAAAUACAUUCUUUUAUUGAACAUGACGACCUCCCCCUCACUCUCGCCGCUCCUCCCUUCAUCUCCUCCCGCCGUCUCCCCCGCCAUGCUGGGCUCCGGAGGAAACCUUCGCCCUCAUCGACGCCUACCACGACAAGUGGUACUCCCUCGAUCGCACUAACCUCAAAGCCACCCACUGGCAAGAAGCCGCUGAUGCCAUCACUGCCCAGUGCCCUAACGCUUCCGCCACUGCCAAAACCGUCGUCCAGUGCCGCCACAAAAUGGAAAAACUCCGCAAACGCUACCGCACCGAAAUCCAACGCCUCUGCUUCCUCCCUCUCCCUCGCCUCAUCAAUAACUCCAUCACCACCUCACCCUUCUCCUGGUUCACUUCAAAUCCAUGGAUUCCAUGGAAGAAGGCCCCAACAAACCCCAAACUAACCCCACCUUCUGAAAAUAAAGGUGUAAGUAGAUUGCAAUGAAUCUGUCAUUUGGGUCAGCCUUUAAACAAGGGAGAUUGAGAGCAUGUGAAUGGAGAUGGAGAUGAAGCGCACUGUUGCAAAAAAACUUUUCUUAUUUUCAUGACCAUGCUUCUAAGGGCAAAAUUAAGUUGGCAAAGAGUUGUAAUGAGCCGUUGAGUAGACAGAUUCUUUUUCUUUACUUUGAUCUUACUUUGAGUUUUUUCUUCUUUUAAAUGUAAAAAGUAAGGAGGAAGUCCGGUUUUAUGAUCUGUUUUUCCUUUCAUUUCCUUGCUCGUUUUAGAAGAGACUGACUUAGUGUCCAGAUCUUGUCUUGAUCACAGUUAAAAUCAUCUAAAAUGUUUUAAUUUGACUAUGAAACAACUUAUGGAGAUUGUAUUUUGAUAUCCAAUGAUAUUCAUGAACUGUAUUUUUUGAAAAAAAUAGAUAAGAAAUAGUACUAAAACCACCAAAUAAUCUUUUACGCCUAUUAGUACCUCAUUAUUACUAUGUCGUUCACAUAUCAUAAUUUCUUAUGUGAUUGAAUGUAAAGGAAUUAACAUGCUCUUCUUCAUUUGUUUAUAUUUGAACUUUAUGCUAGGUAAAAAUGCUUAUGGCGGGUCGAGAUGAAAAUUAAUGGUCGAGAUAUCUCUGAAAGCAGAGAAAUUGAUAUUGCAGAGCAAGUAGAUUAUCUACUAAAGCAAGCCACUGGUGUAGAUAAUCUAUGCAACAUGUACGAAGGAAGAUUAAAUAAGCAUGUUAAAAUAGCGUACAACUUUAGAAGGUGGCGGGGACGAAAAAAAGGAAGGAGCUAUAGAGAAAGGAAAGCAGAAAGGAAACAGAAGAUAGAGAGAAGGAAUCUAGAAGAGAAGAGUCUGAGCAGAAAGGGGAGGAUUAAAGGGAGCUUCAAGAGGAUUUGGGAGGACAAUGCUUACCUAAAGAAAAACGAAGAGGCAAGAUUUCUCUUAUCCGACACACGAAAAAACGCAGAAGAGCGGAGGACAUAUAGGUCAGCUCCCUUUAUUUCAAAAAUUAACCACUUUCUUAUCUGUUUUUUAAGUUUUUAUUCAAUAAUUAAUUUUUAUACGAGGGUCAAAUGAUUUUUUAAUUUCGUUUUAUUAAUUUAUAUUAUCAGAAUUCUUUUCUAAGUACCUUUUUUAAUUUUUAUUCACCUUAUGUCGGUCCAAGCUUCAUACCCUAAGGAAUUUAGCCUCCUACAGUAAGCAUUUUAUCUUGUUGCCCUGUCGUGGGUUUUUUGUGUUAUGUGCUUCUUGCUUUUUUUAUCAUCCCAAAGUGGGUGGGUGUGAGUCUUUGUGUGCUUUUUCACACCAUCAUUUCUCAAAGCAAUUAAAGAAAAUAUAGAAGAGAGUUUAAAAAGUACAAUGAAAGAACCUUUAAAGGAAUUUAUACAUUUGAAAUGCCUCAACCACGAUUCUGCGAAAUUUAUAAAAGUCUAUGUUGGUACUAGAAGGAUAGACAAUCGAUAUCGUUAUAUAGCGAGUCGUGUAGCGGAAUAAAAUUAAUAAGUGAAAAGCAUGUUCGAUUACAAGUUAUAUAAAAUAGUCAGUUUUAAAAAUAAAUUUUCUAAGAGAAAAUUUAUCGAACAGUUGAUGUGUAUAAAACAGUAAAGAGUGUAGGGAGUAGAAAAAUCACACAGAUAAUUUUUAUACUGGUUCGAUUUAAAAGAAUCUAUGUCCAGUCGUUAAUGAUUAACAGUUUCACUAAAAAUCAGUUUCACAGUUUUACAAUAAGUGAAUGAAAAUAAGAUGAUGGAACCUUCCUUCAACAAACGAACCAGAAGCGAACAUUCUGUCAACUCAAAGAGAACUGCUCCGACUAUCGACACACGAAACGUGAACUUCUCCUAUUCACGAGAUCAGGCAGAGUAUCUUACUAACUCGAAGAUAAUCGUUCUGACUAUCGACACACGAAACGCGAGUUUUUCCUAUUCACGAGACUAGGCAAGGGACUUGAACUAACUUUUGAGAACUUUCUCGGACAAACUGUAAGUGAUAAUCGAUUAUUCAAGCUGUUACAGGUUUUUCAAAAUAACUUGGGCAGUUUUCAAAUAGACCUGUGAUAUUUGAUUAUUUGGAGUAAUAAUCGAUUAUUCCAGAACAACAUGGUUUUUCAGAGAAGUUUAAGAUAAACGAUUUUGCUUCUCAUAAUCGAUUAAAUACGUGAUAGUACCAAAAGUACGAGAUUUUACAUAUUUAAAGACAUUCUUAAUACAUUUAUACUCUAGAAAGUGCUUUUAAAAUAAAUUAUAAUAUCUUCUUUAAUUUAAUCUUCUUGCAACAUCAUCAAAACCAAUUUCUUUAAGAUUUACCAAUGCUCCUCAUUGGUAACGGUUUAGACACCCUUAGUUUAAUGUAAUUUGGUAUAAGAUACAAAUCUGGAGAAUUAGAAGUUAGGAAAAAAGUUUAGUUUUGGUAAAAUCUAGCAUGUUCAUAAUUCUACAGAAGUUCUGCAUAAUUAUGUAGAAAGUUGAGCGUUCGUUGUUGAUCGCUCGGUCAUGUUCAGGUACUCAAUCAUCAAUUGGGUUUGGUCUCACUUGGGAUUCAGACUUACUGUGUUCAGCCACUUAUGGGCCUGUUAAUGAUCGUUUCGUUAUGUUUUGGUAUUUGUUAUGAUUGUACCGUUCGGUCUCUUUGUGGUGCUCGGUCUUGUACUAUCACCCGGUCUCUUUGUAGUGCUUGGUCUUGUACUAGCACUCGGUCUCUUUGUAGUGCGUCUUGUACUAGCACUCUGUCUCUCUGUAGUGCUCGGUCCUCUACUAGCACUCGGUCUCUCUAUAGUGCUCGGUCUUGUACUAGCACUCAGUCUCUUUGUAGUGCUCGGUCUUGUACUAGCACUCAGUCUCUUUGUAGUGCUCGUUCUUCUACUAGCACUCAGUCUCUUUGUAAUGCUCAGUUUUAUACUAGCACUCGGUCUCUUUGUAGUUUUCGAUCUUGUACUAACAUUCGGUCUCUUUGUAGUGCUCGGUCUUGUAUUAGAAUUCGGUCUACCUUAGUAUUUGAUUUCAUUGGGAUGUUUGGUCUAACAAUAGUUCUUGACCUUGCUAUAGUAUUUGAAUAGGUUAUAGUAUUCAGUCUCUCUUAUAGUGUCGAUCCUUUAUAGUGUUCAUCCACUUCUUCAACAUUACCUAGUAGGGACCGCUCAGUCCCGUUCUUUAGAUAGUGAAAGAUCGUUCGGUCUCACAUUAAGUGUUUCGAUUUUAUUUAGAAGUAUUUUUGUCCAAGUUUUAAUAUUCGGUCCAUGCUCUAUGUGUCCGGUUGUUCCAAAGUUUGGCCUAUAAUUGUACUCGGCUCAUGUUGAGCCUUACUCUUCAAAUUGACCGUUCAAUCAUAUUCGUGAGUUCAAUCAUAUUCGUGAGUAGUGGGUUGUUACCGAUCGGUUUGACCUUAAUGUGAAGUAUUAUGCUCUUAUAGAAAUUAUGAUUGUGAAGAUAUGUUGAGUGUUAUUUCAAUUGUUUAUGUGUUAAGUAUGAGAAGUAAUGUGAUAUGGUAUGAAAAUUCUAAUGUGGUUAUGAAAGAGAAUUUUAAGGAGGAAUGUCUCAGUAGUGAUUUUCAAUGUGGUAGAAGUAUGAAUAUGGGAAACUCAAUCUUGGCGUUCAUCUCGACAUUCUAAUGAUCAUCAAUUAUCAAGUAGAGGAUGGUGAGGCAUGUCGUGAGAAUAGCAGGAGACCCUAGCCUAUGGGUUUUACCUUGACCAAAGGUGAGUGAUAAUGGGUUAACCUUGUGUGGCAACUGAUGGGUUUUCAGGUUACUUCACCCACGAGUGCACGAACGACCAUAGUUGCAUAUUCGUGCUAGUCCGGACAAUCAAAGUAAAGUGGUCGGUCAAUAUGUGUAUAUAUGUUUUAUGCAUGUGUAUGAGUGUUUAUCUGUUUAUUGAAUUGUAUGUUAACAUGAUUAUUAAAUUACACUAGCUUACCCUGUUUUCUGUGGUACGUCUUUGUACGUUGUUCGCUCUUUUGCAAUGAUCACUUUAAUGGUGUGAAUUUAGGAAUACAAUCUUUCAAUUGUCACAACGAGAGGAUGGGAGUGAAGCUUGCAGUAGGUUGAACUUUUAUUCUUCAGAUAAAGAAUUUUUGUUCAUAGUAAAUCUUAAGUUCUUGUUAUAUCAUUAUCCAUAUAAUGUUUUAUUUUAGUAGUUUAUAUUACUAAAUUGGGAUGUUACACACUUUAUGAAUAUAUAUAAUAUCAUUGUUAGUCAA